CUUAUAGUGGGGGAGUAGCCUUUCGAAAGGAAGAUUAAUACCGCAUAAGAUUGUAGUAUCGCAUGAUAUAGCAAUUAAAGGAGCAAUCCGCUAUAAGAUGGACCCGCGUCGCAUUAGCUAGUUGGUGAGGUGAUGGCUCACCAAGGCGACGAUGCGUAGCCGACCUGAGAGGGUGAUCGGCCACAUUGGGACUGAGACACGGCCCAGACUCCUACGGGAGGCAGCAUG
RNAcentral lists this ribosomal RNA (228 nucleotides) under uncultured bacterium. Its description in RNAcentral is "partial 16S ribosomal RNA". It matches the Rfam family "Bacterial small subunit ribosomal RNA", at positions 130 to 353 of the family's 1533-position model. The record is from RNAcentral.